UUAUAUUUUUCAUGAUGGAAAUUAGAUAUUGUUGAUUUUGUGAAAUUUUUUUAAUUUAAUUUAAAAAUAGUAGAUCCAUGGAUCUGGACCCGUGGACCCGCGGAUCUGACGGAUCUGGAUCCAAAAUUUUCAGAUCCACGGAUCUGGAUCUGGAUCUAGUAUAUGAAAACGGAUCUGGAUCUGGUAUUGGUCAGACCCGGUCCAGAUCCGGCCCGUUGCCAUCCC
RNAcentral lists this long non-coding RNA (225 nucleotides) under Salvia miltiorrhiza (redroot sage). Its description in RNAcentral is "long non-coding RNA (SMIL_LNC013485)". Lineage: Eukaryota; Viridiplantae; Streptophyta; Magnoliopsida; Lamiales; Lamiaceae. The record is from RNAcentral.